This 237-nucleotide ribosomal RNA is filed under the name uncultured bacterium. RNAcentral's name for it is "partial 16S ribosomal RNA". It matches the Rfam family "Bacterial small subunit ribosomal RNA", at positions 99 to 334 of the family's 1533-position model. The record is from RNAcentral.
CGAACGGGUGAGUAACGCGUGAGGAACCUGCCUCAAAGAGGGGGACAACAGUUGGAAACGACUGCUAAUACCGCAUAAGCCCACGGCUCGGCAUCGAGCAGAGGGAAAAGGAGUGAUCCGCCUUGAGAUGGCCUCGCGUCCGAUUAGCUGGUUGGUGAGGUAACGGCCCACCAAGGCGACGAUCGGUAGCCGGACUGAGAGGUUGAACGGCCACAUUGGGACUGAGACACGGCCCAG